This 480-nucleotide ribosomal RNA is filed under the name uncultured bacterium. RNAcentral describes it as "bacterial SSU rRNA". It matches the Rfam family "Bacterial small subunit ribosomal RNA", at positions 28 to 507 of the family's 1533-position model. The record is from RNAcentral.
GAUGAACGCUGGCGGCGUGCCUAAUACAUGCAAGUCGGACGGAUGUAGCAAUACAUUAGUGGCGAACGGGUGAGUAACACGUAGGUGACCUGCCCUAAAGAGGGGAAUACCACUUCGAAAGGAGUGACAAAACCGCAUAAACUUAUAGAGAUUAGAAGGCUAUAAGGAAAAGAGCGAUCUACUUUAGGAGGGGCCUGCGGCCCAUCAGCUAGUUGGUAGAGGUAACGGCCUACCAAGGCGAAGACGGGUAGGGGACCUGAGAGGGUGAUCCCCCACAAUGGAACUGAAACACGGUCCAUACACCUGCGGGUGGCAGCAGUAGGGAAUAUUGCUUAAUGGGCGAAAGCCUGAAGCAGCAACGCCGCGUGGACGAAGAAGGCCUUCGGGUUGUAAAGCCCUUUCGUGCGGAAAGAACAGUCCUGUGGCGAAUACUCGCAGGAUUUGACGGUACCGCAGGAAGAAGCACCGGCUAACUCCGUG